This 429-nucleotide ribosomal RNA is filed under the name Actinomycetes bacterium. RNAcentral's name for it is "Actinobacteria bacterium partial 16S ribosomal RNA". It matches the Rfam family "Bacterial small subunit ribosomal RNA", at positions 355 to 776 of the family's 1533-position model. The record is from RNAcentral. Lineage: Bacteria; Bacillati; Actinomycetota; Actinomycetes.
UAGGGAAUCUUCCGCAAUGGGCGAAAGCCUGACGGAGCAACGCCGCGUGAGUGAUGAAGGUCUUCGGAUCGUAAAACUCUGUUAUUAGGGAAGAACAAAUGUGUAAGUAACUAUGCACGUCUUGACGGUACCUAAUCAGAAAGCCACGGCUAACUACGUGCCAGCAGCCGCGGUAAUACGUAGGUGGCAAGCGUUAUCCGGAAUUAUUGGGCGUAAAGCGCGCGUAGGCGGUUUUUUAAGUCUGAUGUGAAAGCCCACGGCUCAACCGUGGAGGGUAAUUGGACACUGGAAAACUUGAGUGCCGAAGAGGAAAGUGGAAUUCCAUGUGUAGCGGUGAAAUGCGCAGAGAUAUGGAGGAACACCAGUGGCGAAGGCGACUUUCUGGUCUGUAACUGACGCUGAUGUGCGAAAGCGUGGGGAUCAAACAGG